This 448-nucleotide ribosomal RNA is filed under the name uncultured bacterium. RNAcentral's name for it is "bacterial SSU rRNA". It matches the Rfam family "Bacterial small subunit ribosomal RNA", at positions 30 to 477 of the family's 1533-position model. The record is from RNAcentral.
AUUGAACGCUGGCGGCAUGCUUUACACAUGCAAGUCGAACGGUAACAGGGAGCUUGCUCCGCUGACGAGUGGCGAACGGGUGAGUAAUGCAUCGGAACGUACCCAGUCGUGGGGGAUAACGUAGCGAAAGUUACGCUAAUACCGCAUACGUCCUGAGGGAGAAAGCGGGGGACCGUAAAGGCCUCGCGCGAUUGGAGCGGCCGAUGUCGGAUUAGCUAGUUGGUAGGGUAAAGGCCUACCAAGGCGACGAUCCGUAGCGGGUCUGAGAGGAUGAUCCGCCACACUGGGACUGAGACACGGCCCAGACUCCUACGGGAGGCAGCAGUGGGGGAAUUUUGGACAAUGGGCGAAAGCCUGAUCCAGCCAUGCCGCGUGAGUGAAGAAGGCCUCGGUUGUAAGUACGUACGUUUCUACGUACCGGAAACGGAAAGUACGCGCACGGAGUAAU